GAUGAACGCUGGCGGCGUGCCUAAUACAUGCAAGUCGAGCGAACAGACGAGGAUUUUGCUCUUCUGACGUUAGCGGCGGACGGGUGAGUAACACGUGGAUAACCUACCUAUCAGACUUGGACAACUUCGGGAAACCGGAGCUAAUACCGGAUAAUAUAUCCAACCGCAUGGUUCAAUAGUGAUAUAUGGUUUUGCUGUCACUUAUAGAUGUAUCCGCGCCGUUUUAGCUAGUUGGUAAGGUAACGGCUUACCAAGGCAACGAUGGGUAGCCGACGUGAGAGAGUGGUCGCCCGCACGAGAGCGGAACCGCGGUCCAGACUACUACGAGAGGCAGCAGUAGGGAAUCUUAGGCAGUGGGCGGAAGCCUGGCGGAGCAGCGGCAAGUGAGUGAUGGAGGCGUUCGGUUCGUAAAACUGUGUUAUGGGGGAAAAACAAAUGUGUGAAGAGAUAUACCCGUAUUGACGGUACCUGAACAGAAAGCAACGGCUAACUACGUG
RNAcentral lists this ribosomal RNA (497 nucleotides) under uncultured bacterium. RNAcentral describes it as "partial 16S ribosomal RNA". It matches the Rfam family "Bacterial small subunit ribosomal RNA", at positions 28 to 507 of the family's 1533-position model. The record is from RNAcentral.